CUGCACGUUGUGGGAUUCUCAAGUUGUGUCUCCUGCAAGGACUAGGAAAGAUCCAUCCAUGCUGCUUACCUCUUACGGAGAAUCCUGCAAAGUACGUAUCAUCAUUUGUGCUGGAGGACAGACUUCUUCAGUAGCUUGCUGGCUGCCAUGGCUCCAAGAAGGACUCACACAGUAAAUAAGGUAAGGACAUGGAGCUGAUACCAUCAGGUAUACCCUGUAUCGCCUUCAUUUAGCACUGGGGAGGGGAAACAAGCAGGCUGCAAGCUCCUAGUUGAAAGGACUGUUCUUUUACUUAGGAUGAACUUCUUAGCCAGAACUCUCAACUAUCAAUACUCUUAAAUAUCAAUCAUUU
RNAcentral lists this long non-coding RNA (352 nucleotides) under Junco hyemalis (dark-eyed junco). RNAcentral describes it as "lncRNA (ENSJHYG00000017220.1)". The record is from RNAcentral. Lineage: Eukaryota; Metazoa; Chordata; Aves; Passeriformes; Passerellidae.